Molecule: ribosomal RNA, 460 nt
Filed under: uncultured bacterium
Lineage: Bacteria
Description: partial 16S ribosomal RNA
Rfam family: Bacterial small subunit ribosomal RNA
Source: RNAcentral
CCUACGGGAGGCAGCAGUGAGGAAUAUUGGUCAAUGGACGCGAGUCUGAACCAGCCAAGUAGCGUGAAGGAUGACUGCCCUAUGGGUUGUAAACUUCUUUUUUAUGGGAAUAAAAUGUUCCACGUGUGGGAUUUUGUAUGUACCAUAUGAAUAAGGAUCGGCUAAAUCCGUGCCAGCAGCCGCGGGACUACGGAGGAUGCGAGCUUUAUCCGGAUUUGUUGGGUUUAAAGGGAGCGUAGGUGGAUUGUUAAGUCAGUUGUGAAAGCUUGCGGUUCAACCGUAAAAUUGCAUUUGAAACUGGCAGUCUUGAGUACAGUAGAGGUGGGCGGAAUUCGUGGUGUAGCGGUGAAAUGCGUAGAUAUCACGAAGAACACCGAUUGCGAAGGCAGCUGACUGGACUGCAACUGACACUGAGGCUCGAAAGUGUGGGUAGCAAACAGGAUUAGAUACCCGAGUAGUC